GUGGACGCAUCACUGGUGUUCGGGUUGUCAUGCCAAUGGCACUGCCCGGUAGCUAAAUGCGGAAGAGAUAAGUGCUGAAAGCAUCUAAGCACGAAACUUGCCCCGAGAUGAGUUCUCCCUGACUCCUUGAGAGUCCUGAAGGAACGUUGAAGACGACGACGUUGAUAGGCCGGGUGUGUAAGCGCAGCGAUGCGUUGAGCUAACCGGUACUAAUGAACCGUGAGGCUUAACCUUACAACGCCGAAGGUGUUU
This 252-nucleotide ribosomal RNA is filed under the name Escherichia coli. RNAcentral describes it as "partial 23S ribosomal RNA". It matches the Rfam family "Bacterial large subunit ribosomal RNA", at positions 2697 to 2925 of the family's 2925-position model. The record is from RNAcentral. Lineage: Bacteria; Pseudomonadati; Pseudomonadota; Gammaproteobacteria; Enterobacterales; Enterobacteriaceae.